Long non-coding RNA from Limulus polyphemus (Atlantic horseshoe crab), 625 nucleotides. RefSeq lists it as uncharacterized. NCBI's taxonomy places the organism in Eukaryota, Metazoa, Arthropoda, Merostomata, Xiphosura, Limulidae. The transcript is spliced from 3 exons. The record is from RefSeq and is a predicted model, not a curated record.
UUCCGCUUUUGUCCAUUUUACAUUGCGUGUUCAAAAGCUCGACAAAGCUUGUUUUAUGUUUGCUCCAUUCUUCUCGCUGUUGUAAUUGCCCACUUCAGGCAGACCGGUCUUACAUGGAUGCACAUUUAGUAGAGUGCGCGGCCGCUUCCAGUAGGCUGCACGUUCAAACUAAGAAAUCUACCCAUGGGCACGUAACGGAUGAAAAUCGUGUAUACUGAAGGUAAUGAGCUUUUGUCGCUAAGAGCGUCGCUAACACGCAGUCGCCUCAUCGAAUUGUCACUAAGCCGUCUAUGAUGCUGGGAAACAGACGCGUUUAUACGAGAUCGCGAUCAUGUUGCAAGUUCAGAAAGCCAUAGAUAAAUAUGUGUUAAAAGUGAAAAGUUAGACAGAACACUACAAGGAAUUGGAUUUCAUUGAAACGAUUUAUUGAAUAUAUCGAGCAAACAUUUUCAAGGUUUGAUGACAGUGUGAUAUACUUUUUACAUGUGUGGCUCUGACCUCGACUUUGAUUAUCAGAUGUUUAUCAACGAUUCAUGUGCUCAACCUGUUGAUCUCUCCUAUCAUGAACCUGUUGGCUCUUUAGCAAAGACUGAAGGACUGAGUUGUAUCACUGGUCCAUUUAGAC